GUUUCUAUCUAUGAAGUGUUUUCUUCCAGUACGAAAGGAUAGAAGAAAAAAGGUUAAUGCUUAAGGUAAACCUUACCCCUACCUAAUGAAAACAACUUAAUUAGGCAAAAGGGACCACACCCAUGCCAAAGAUAAUAGCU
This 140-nucleotide ribosomal RNA is filed under the name Pseudoxiphophorus bimaculatus (twospot livebearer). RNAcentral describes it as "partial 16S ribosomal RNA". Lineage: Eukaryota; Metazoa; Chordata; Actinopteri; Cyprinodontiformes; Poeciliidae. The record is from RNAcentral.